Molecule: long non-coding RNA, 2582 nt
Organism: Cygnus olor (mute swan)
Lineage: Eukaryota; Metazoa; Chordata; Aves; Anseriformes; Anatidae
Exons: 4
Source: RefSeq, a predicted model, not a curated record
ACUGUGAACUCCCUGGGUGAGAAGUUACAGGUGAAGUAAUACAAAUAAUAACGAUGAUCCCAAGAAUUUAUAUUAGCAGUGCUAUGGACUAGCCCAGUGUUCUGCGCUUGAUAAAGACAAGCAAGUCCAACACAUUCAGCUCUUGGCUGCCCCAGAGCACUUUUGUUGGCUGUUGUGCUGCCCACCUCGCAUUGGGUCCAUCCUGAUUCCAUCUGGGCCAGUUCUGGCAUAGAAAAGCAGUUCUGUCCCAAACAGGGCUGCAGGGCAAAUUGUUCAUCAGUACAACUGCACUGAUGCCAGUGCAAAAUCACGUCAGAGACUCUAUCCCCGUGUACUUUUAAAUCAUCAAGCUAAUAAGUACCCUGGAUGAUAAGAUGUAAUCUUUUAAAUGCAGUAUGGAUUUCUUCCUCUGAAUUAUGCAUGAUAACAUCUUUAGGCAUGAGCUUUGUUUGUUUUUUGUUUGUUUGUUUGUUUAUUUAUUUCUGAAGGAGCUAUCUUUUGGUGGUGGUGGAGAUAAUCACUGUGGUUUACAAUUAGGGAGGGAGGCCCAGGGAGGGCUCCCUGUGGCUAGACAAUCUCUGCUAACGGCCUGGAAGUUGUGGUGUCUCCAUCCUUGUAGAGAUUCAAAACCCAACACGACACAGUCCUAGGCAAUCUGCUCCAGAAGACCUGCCUUGAGCAGAGGGGUUGGACAGGAUGCUCUCAAGAUCUUUUCCAUGCUGGGAUUCUGUUUCCUGUUUCUUAUAUCAAUUCCUGACUAUUAUACCAUUCCUCUGCAGCAGGUAGGGUAAUAAUAGUAAUAUCCAGGUCUCCUGCAGCACUUUUCACUCCUUGAUCUGCAAUGUCUCUGCAGAGGCUGGUGGUUCUUCAUCCCUUCUUAACACCUAGGGAAACUGGGACAGUCAGAAAGCAAAUGAUUGCUUAAAGACAUUAAGGAAGACGGUGUUAGAGGGACCGAAUCUCCAGAGUGUCACCUCCCACUCCCGCACCAGCACAGCAACCACAACACCUGUGCAGCCGUAUAUUUGAGAGACGCCUGCUGUGCCCAGCAUCCGGCCGCAGCAGAGGCCAGAGAGGCGGGAGGCAGCACGCUGUCCACGGCGGCAGCCCCUGGACUGUAAAUCACAGCAAAUGAGAGCUGCUCCUGCGCUUUGCCAGGCAGACAAUGGAGCAGGCAGCUCCGCUCCGGUGAGCUCAGCUGAACCACGAACAGGCAAGCUGGUGCUUUAAUGAAGGGACUACUGUACUAGAGCAGUCAUUUGAUCUUCAAGGGUUUGACCACGCAAGAAGCAAAGCAAACUGGCACAAUUCCUCUUCAGCACUUAACCAAGAAUGUCUCGUUAUCCUCCCACUGCCGUGAGGGUUCACUGCCCCUCCUGAACCAGCCACAGUGCACUGGGACAAAAAUAGCAUUGCCAUCCCCACAGCUUGAAGUCAAAACCAACAAGUGAUACAACAACCAGAAGAGAAAAGCUAACUGGGAGGUGAUGGUGUCAACAAGCAGCAGCCACUGCAUGUGUUUCAAAUGCUUUUUAAAAACUCUGGUGGAGAGGUGACUGCCCUAAAAAAUGGCAGUAAAAGAGCAUACAUGCUUGCAGGCAAAGGCAGCACAACAGCACAGCAAUGAUAAGUGACGUUUCAUUACCCCAGAGCUGUAAGGAGAACCCCUGCCCUCACUGCCUGGCCGUCCUGCUCUGAUGUGUGUUGAAGUUGGUGGUGGUGGUAACAGAUUUUGGAAUUCAUCUUCAACCCCGAGGUCUUCAGACAACUUGAGGCUGUUAAGCAAAUGCUGUGCAAAGCUGUGCCAGAUCUCACCUGGUGUAACUCACUUAGCUCCAGAGGCAAAUUGUGGACUGUGUGCCUGGGCAAAUUAUUGCUUGGCUUUUCCUAUGACAGGGUGCUGUAUGUAUGUACCAUUAGACAGUGAAAAAGACCUCAGGUUGGAGUCACUUUCUUCUAACACUAAAUGCACCCUUUCACUAGGAUAAGCAAAAUAGUGCUGUCCUUAGAGGGGAGCUGGGGGUGGUGGUGGUGGGCAGAGAGAGAGAGAAAAGCUUCAAUUUCCAAAAAAAUUCUUAUUACCAUAAGAACUUAAUUGCUUAGACUCAGAUAUAUCUCCUGGUAUUCUGCAUUUUAUUUUUGCUCCCACACUUGCUGGGUCUGGAAUUCUCUUCUGAGCUGCUAACUCGGUUUUUGCUUUUUAAAGCUCAUUUAAAACCUUUCCUACUUCCUCUGUCUGUGAUUAACGCUAAUCCAGUCACCCCUUUCUUUUCCUAUGGCUUCUUACAUUCACCCCUUGCUGCAGACUGCAAGAAUUCUAAUUGGCAUCUGCUCUUCUUUUUGGGUUUCCAUUUUUUCCUUUCUUCCUGCUCCAUUUUCUCUCUGUUGCUAUAUGGGCUGCUCUAUGCCAUCCUGUUAUGCUUUCUAGCCCAGAUCUGCCUAGUGCUCUAAAGGAUUUGAUGAUUUUCUUUAGGACUGACUCUAAUAAUAGCCACAAUCCUGCCUCUUUACAAAUCUUCCUCACAAAGAAGAAAAAAAAUAAAAUAAAAAUAAAGUUCUGCCCUCCAGAGUGAAUUCCACUG